Long non-coding RNA from Parus major (Great Tit), 2481 nucleotides. RefSeq lists it as uncharacterized. The record is from RefSeq and is a predicted model, not a curated record. The transcript has 4 exons. NCBI's taxonomy places the organism in Eukaryota, Metazoa, Chordata, Aves, Passeriformes, Paridae.
GUUUGGUUGCGCCGUGCCGCCGCCGCAGUGCAGCACCGGUAUUCACGAACGCUGCUACGCCAGGGGCUGCCGGCGCCGCCGCGCAGGGCAUCGGGGUCUGCGCAAAUGGCGCAGCUGCUUCAUGGCGGCUGCUCGGCCGCCGUGUCCCUGCACCGUUCGCUGCCGAGCUGCAGCUCUCCCAGAGCUCCAGAGCCAGGGGCCUGCCGUGGGAGCUGCAGGCACGUUCACAGAAGGUGAAGAGGAUGCUGUGUCGUGGUUUGUGUGUGAAGAAACAAUAGGAAUACACCACAGAACAUUUAUAUACAUUUAUCUGCUUGUAGCAAAGGGCUUUUGUUGGAUGUAAAAAGCCGCUCCUUAGUUUUCCAUGGGCAGAAGCACAGAAUGUCUUCUUAAAAUUUAAGAAAUUGCAUAAAGGAAGUGCUUUGGGAAGAGAGAUGGAAGAAGAGAACCAAAACCACUACCAGAAAAUGACCUAAAUCAGGACAAACAUUGGAAGACUGUCAGAUGUUUAAAAAAAAGAAGGCUGGAUCUGACUCUGAAAGUGGCUUCUAUUAACUAGGUGUGUUUUCUGAGAGGGAGAAUUCAGAGGACCACAUCUUGCCUCACAGGACAACAAACACAGAGAGUGGGAUGGAUAUUUCCUGCUUACAGUGAGAGAGUACAACACAUGCUUUACCUCAGUUUUAAGUAUGGUUACUUAGAAAAAGAGUAGGUAAAUUUGUAGAUAAAACUAUACAAAAUACUCUUGCACCAAAAUGUCUUUUUUUUGUUGUUACUGAGUUGCAGGAUUUAUGCAGGCCUUAUUGUUACUAAUUUUUGAAAGGAAUUUUAGACAUAGUGAAAGGAAAGUUUGUAGUUUUGGUGGUAAGAAAGGAAGAGGAUGAGAAUACCUAAAACUGUACAUACCAAACUGAUGUCCAACUGAAGGAGGAGUGGCAUUACUGCCUUGAUUGCAAUACUGUGAGAAUUUAUGGUACAUUUAGCUUGAUAACCUUUGCUAUUAGGCCAGAAUAAAACUUGUUUUGUGCUACAUAUAUGUAUUAUUUAUGUUUUAUUAUGAAGUUUAUUUGAUAAGACAGUUUCUUGGCUAUUUGCUGGUUAUAAUUUAGAUUAAAAGAUAGAAAAGAGUAGUCACACUUUAUACAGAAUAUAUAAAUACUUAACAGAGCAUCUAAUUUUCUCAUUCUCCACAUUGGACUAUCCAUGAGCAACCAGGAUUGCUGAAUCCUGGUUGGGAACAUGAAGUAUUUUGGUUCAUACAUUCAUAAAUGCCAUUUCCUUUCAAUUCAGCUUACAAAUUAGUUAUGAUCUUUGCUAUGUAAUUGACAGGCGAUCUUUGAAUAUUAUUUGAGACAUGGAAACACAAAGUGGGAUGGAUUGGGUACUAUUUUCACAAUGUGUUAAGAGUUCAAACUUAGUAUUUUACUUUACUUUGUCAAAAGAGAUCAAAAUAAAAUAAAAAAAAAGGAGGGAAGAGCAGAGUUCAAAUUACAGUGCAUAAAAUUGAAAUAAUAACUCAAGCUAUUAUUUCUUAUGACACAGGAAAGAAAAGGUGAAAGUUGAAUUCCGUACUUGGGAUCUCAGAAUAGAUGCAAAGAUGACCACACAGCCCCAAAUGAGAAAAUUAAUUACUUCCACCUUUGAGAUUUCUUCCCAAUUUACUCCUUUUCACAAACUCUCUGAAAUCAGUGUUUAUAGCACAAAAUGUAUACAAAACUUGUAGAAUCAACAAGAGAUCAGAGACAACUCUGUGUCCCUACUCCCUCUACAGUUUUUCCCCAUGAAAUGCUGAUUUUUUCUGUUGACCACAUGGACCUAUCAAAGUGCCAGAUUAUUCUGGGAUGUAUAUCCAUGUGGGAAAGCUUAGGAGCAAAGCUUUUCAUCCCAGACUGUCUAUUCUUGAUUGACAGAUCUUUGUCAAUAACAAGUGCCUUCUAAUGAAUGUGUGCAAAUAAAUGUUAUAGUUCCUUGGCUUUUUAAACAUGUAGGUGGUGGCCACAUGGGUCAUUACAUUAUUAGAAAUCUAUUGUUAUUGUUGUUGUUGUUGCUGUUGUUAUUGUUGUUAUUAUUAUUAUGGCUAUUAUUAUUAUUAUUAUACUACAGAGACUACUGUAAUGAAACUACCAAUUGAUUUGCAUCUCAGUAAAUUAGCUCUGGUUGAAUAACUUACCAUGAUUCACACAUCAAAAUCUUCACUUGUGUGUCCUUAAUUUUUGUCUGCUUUUGCUUUUCAGAUGUUUGUGUAGUUUCUAUCAUUAUAAUGUCUGACCAACAGAAAAAAAAACCAUUGAUGUAAAUUACUGUCUUAAUAUGACCUUUCAUGUAGUAAAUAUAAUUUAUGUUCCAUUUAGGGGUGUUUGACAGUGCUGUAAAAAGGACAAAGGAGACACAGUACAAGACCAAAUUAAGAUGUAGUUAAUUAGUCUGUGUGAUAGUUCUUUCCAACAGGGAAAAGAAGGUUAAGAAAUAAAGUCAUUGUCU